Molecule: ribosomal RNA, 245 nt
Filed under: uncultured Pseudoflavonifractor sp.
Lineage: Bacteria; Bacillati; Bacillota; Clostridia; Eubacteriales; Oscillospiraceae
Description: partial 16S ribosomal RNA
Rfam family: Bacterial small subunit ribosomal RNA
Source: RNAcentral
UACGUAGGUGGCGAGCGUUAUCCGGAUUUACUGGGUGUAAAGGGCGUGUAGGCGGGAUUGCAAGUCAGAUGUGAAAACCACGGGCUCAACCUGUGGCCUGCAUUUGAAACUGUAGUUCUUGAGUGCUGGAGAGGCAAUCGGAAUUCCGUGUGUAGCGGUGAAAUGCGUAGAUAUACGGAGGAACACCAGUGGCGAAGGCGGAUUGCUGGACAGUAACUGACGCUGAGGCGCGAAAGCGUGGGGAG